RNAcentral lists this transfer RNA (72 nucleotides) under Camelus bactrianus (Bactrian camel). It matches the Rfam family "tRNA". Rfam says of the family: Transfer RNA (tRNA) molecules are approximately 80 nucleotides in length. Their secondary structure includes four short double-helical elements and three loops (D, anti-codon, and T loops). Further hydrogen bonds mediate the characteristic L-shaped molecular structure. tRNAs have two regions of fundamental functional importance: the anti-codon, which is responsible for specific mRNA codon recognition, and the 3' end, to which the tRNAs corresponding amino acid is attached (by aminoacyl-tRNA synthetases). tRNAs cope with the degeneracy of the genetic code in two manners: having more than one tRNA (with a specific anti-codon) for a particular amino acid; and 'wobble' base-pairing, i.e. permitting non-standard base-pairing at the 3rd anti-codon position. RNAcentral also lists the same sequence under 2 other names. The record is from Rfam by way of RNAcentral. Lineage: Eukaryota; Metazoa; Chordata; Mammalia; Artiodactyla; Camelidae.
GCAGGUAUAGCUCAGUGGUAGAGUGCCUGCUUAGCAUGCACAAAGUCCUGGGUUCAAUCCCCAGUACCUCCA